RNAcentral lists this transfer RNA (72 nucleotides) under Felis catus (domestic cat). It matches the Rfam family "tRNA". From Rfam's summary of the family: Transfer RNA (tRNA) molecules are approximately 80 nucleotides in length. Their secondary structure includes four short double-helical elements and three loops (D, anti-codon, and T loops). RNAcentral also lists the same sequence under 1 other name. Lineage: Eukaryota; Metazoa; Chordata; Mammalia; Carnivora; Felidae. The record is from Rfam by way of RNAcentral.
GCCUGGCUGGCUCAGUCGGUAGAGCGAGCGACUCCUGAUCUCAGGGUGUGGGUUCGAGCCCCAUGUUGGGUG